AUUAAAAUAAAAACAAAGUUUCAGUCUCUUCACAAGAAGUAAUUUAUAUUCUCUGAAUUUUUUCAGCCACAACAACUGGAUUCUCUUUUCUGAUUUUUGCUGCAGCUUCUGCUUUGUAAUCAUACGGACAGUUGUGCUUGUCAGAGUUAACGGUGAAGUCCACAAAACAAAUUUCCACAUCGGCAGUCAAACCUGACUGCAUAGACAAGGCACGAGGCCAGUUUUCCC
RNAcentral lists this long non-coding RNA (228 nucleotides) under Homo sapiens (human). RNAcentral's name for it is "HSALNT0398051". The record is from RNAcentral. Lineage: Eukaryota; Metazoa; Chordata; Mammalia; Primates; Hominidae.